This is a long non-coding RNA of Diprion similis, 198 nucleotides long. RefSeq lists it as uncharacterized. The record is from RefSeq and is a predicted model, not a curated record. NCBI's taxonomy places the organism in Eukaryota, Metazoa, Arthropoda, Insecta, Hymenoptera, Diprionidae. The transcript has 3 exons.
CAACGCUCUUCCGCCCGACUGUUCAGCUUACAACAUGGAUUUAUUACAUGUUCACGUAUAAUUGUCAUGUACUAUUUAUGCAGUUUUAUUCAACGAGGUUACACAAUGUUACUUCAGUAUUUUAGAUUUAUCAGGUGAACACGAAUCAGUGAGUAUUUCGCGUUGCAUGGUUCACUAUUCAGUUAUAUGAGACAAUUG